GUGAAUUUUCUUCCGUGGAUUCCGAUUUGCUCCGUCUGACCAGCCUAGGCAAUCCAGCAUCGCGUGGUACCAGUGCCGCUGGGCACACUCGCUUCACGCCGGCUCCGCCUCACCAGCAAGCGCAUUCCCAGAUAAAACACUAACUCAGAGAAGAAAUUUAACUGCAGAUUUGGUUAAUGACCUUGGAUUCCAAAUGAGAAGAAAACCUAGACACUGAGAGUUUAGAAUAAACUCAAGAAUCUUAAAAAUUUUCCCAUUGAACUGCCUUUGCACCUCUAUAAAAAAUUAAUUGACCAUAUGAGACAGGAUCUCACUCUGUUCAGGCUGGAGUGCCGUGGAGCAAUCAUAGCUGACUGCAGCCUCAAACUCCCGGACUCAAGCCUUCUUGCCUCAGCCUCCUGAAUAGCCGGGACUUCAGAAGGGCACUGCCAUGCCUGGCUAUUAAAAAAAAAAAGUAAAGAUGGAGUCUCACUUUGUUGCCCAGGCUGGCCUCGAACUCCUAGCUUUAAGUGAUCCUCCUGCCUCAGCCUCCCAGAAUGCUGGGAUUAUGAGCUGAGCCACCAUGCCCAGUCCAUUGACAUUUUUCAAUGAUUCUUUUCAACAAUUUUCUUUUUCAUAGUUGGUUUUCAGCAGUUCAAUUAUAAUGUGUUUGGAAGAUUUUUCUUAAGUUUAUUCUGCUUGGAACUUGCUGAGCUUCUUAGAUCUGUCCAUUUAUUUUCCAUCACCAAAUUUGUGAAAUUUUCAGCUGUUCUUUGCUCAAUAAUAACUUUUUUAUCACCAAGAUAUCUCUCUAAGUUUUUGACAUAUUCCUCAUUUGUUUUGAUAAAAGUUUUCUUAUUUUCUUAGAAAAAAUAAGUUACUAAAAGUCAUAUAUCAUUGUAUAUCUUCAAAAUAUUGCUUAAAACUAGGACUUGUAUUUAAAUGUUUUUUCUUCUUAAAGACAAUUUUAAUUUAUGAUUUUCUGAAUUCAGUCCAUAAAUUCAGAUCAUUCAAACUGUUAAGAUGUCUUUUAUGCUGACAUUAUUUUUAGAUUUCCUGGAAUUUCCACCAGGUAACACAAAAUUCUGCUCCUUUACCUCAUAAAGUAAAUAUAAUGGAGAUAAUUAGGUUUAUUUAGCAUUCUCCAGAUGUUUUUACGUCAAAAAUGAAGAGAGAUCUUUUAUUUUUUCAACUUAACAAAAAAUGGACAUAUCACAAAAGUUUAGACUUCCUAUCUUAAGUAACAAAACAUUUUAAUAUUAUACACAUUUUUAUGUUAAAAUAAGCAUGCUAUUGUUCAUGUACACAGACUGGUAUAAUAAUUGUUUAAAAUAUUUGAUAUCUAGGUUACUUGAUUCCAAUACUUACGUUAAUCAGGGCUGAUCAUAGUAUACUUUAUAGCACAAAUCAAAGGUCCCGGAGGUUUGUCAAUGUCUUCACUGUUCAUAAUGUGUUCUUACUCCCAGAGUUAUUAUUGACUAUAUCCUUAUACUUGUGUUGUGUAUUAUACCUAAAAGAGAAUUUUGCUUCGCUAUAUGUCCAGAGGAUUUAGAUUUCGAAAGAGACAUCACAGGAAAAAAAGUGUCCUUGAGGCUUGAUGAAAAUGAUAUUUUCAGAUCCUAUUAAUACAUAAUACAAAAGAAAAACUGUAAUGUGUGGACUCUAAGAUCUAUAUCUCUCAAUUAAAGAAAUAUAAUUCAUCCGUGAAUCACUGAAAGGAUGGUCUUAGCAGGACUUCAAGCUGAGGAUCCUUAGGAACUUAGGAAUUCUCCAAAAGCAUAGAUUUUGAGGGUGGAGACAGCUUCAAAUUAAGACCAUCAGAUCAUGGAAACAACUGUGAAUAGUAGACAACUUCCAUUCAAGAUCUAUGAAGAAGAUCCAGAUGACCAGAACCAGUGAUUCCCAUGCUUUAAUCUGCAAUAUGUCAUUCUUUAUUUACCUAGCUAUUUUCUCUCCUCUUUGUUAAAGUUUCUGAUUGCUAACAGAAAGUUAUUAUUUCUUAAACAUAAUAUCUGUAUGGUUCCCAUCCUUAAUAAUAUUUCGGCAUGUUUACAUACUUCUUGGCCUGAUUCCAAUACCUGCCAGCAGUUUUAUUGCAAUUUGGCUAAAGAAUACAAUCAAACUGACCUUUGGAUUUGUACUCAUUUUUAUCUGGGUGCCAUCCAGCUUUAUUUGAUACCUUUUCCUUGUUAUAAAUAAGUUGGUUUCCACCAAUCAACUUAUUUAGAUGACAAAAACCAUAACAGACCAGAGAGCCAAGAAACCUAAAGUCUCUGCUAUGUCAAACCUAUAAAUGAGGUGUUUCUUCUUCUGUAGGAAAAAAAUACACAGAAGAGCUAGCCUUUGCAAUCAACCCUUACAGAAAUAGAAUGUAGAAAAAGCCAGGGAACAGUUGGGGUAUAUUUAAAACAUUGCCUAACUUUUACAGACCUUGCAAGAAAGGUGCAUUAGUUAAGCUAAACCCCCAUCCCUGUCCAAUUUACAGAUUGCAGUCAAUAGUCUUUUGUGCUUCAAAUCCAAUACUAGUUGUGAGGGAUUACCCAAUGAUCUGCUUUCAGUGGAAAUGCUCAUAUGGUGAUGUCAGAUAGAAUUGGCCUAGCACUAGGUGAUAGACCUUAUGCCAGGCCAAUUCUAUUUGACAUCCCCGUAUGAGUAUUUGAAGCACAAAAGACUAUUGACUGCGAUCUGCGAUCUGUAAAUUGAACAGGGAUCUAUAAUGUGAGUAAACUGAGGUCUGCCUUCAGGAGAGUUCUUAGUAUCACCCCACCUCCAUUUUGACCUGCAGACUUCCCUUCUAAGAAAAAAAGACAUUUAGAUAAUUUAAUUCAAAAAUGCUGAACUUUGGUUUACAUUUUAAAAGCAACCCCUGAAAGAACAUUUCAGACUGCUUUCUUCUUCAUUUCACACUUUCCAUGAGACUUGACAAGUAGGCAGGAUUCUACAGACAAUGGUACAGAGAACAGCGAGAGAAUGGCAACAUUGCUACAGCUGUAGAACUUCUCACCUAAGAGGUUCACAGGUGUGGUGAUGGUUCAAAACAGAAGUCUUUCGAGGUAGGAUGUGUGCUGACUUAGGGAAAGAAUGCUGUACCUGCAUUAUUACAGACCUCUUUUGGAUCUUUAAUGUUGCUAAAAUUAUCUGGGUGGCAAACAUAAAAAUAGUGAAAUUAUGUAAUUUGGCUAAUACUCUCUAUCUGCUUGUGUGGCCUCUUCACAUUGGGGAUAAAAUGUUGUCACUCUUGGCUUCUGCCUUAAAAGUGACUACAAGUUCAUAUCAUAAUAUUUCUCAUAGAAAUUAUCUAUGUUGGGCCAGGCACGGUGGCUCACGCCUGUAUUCCCAGAACUUUGGGAGGCCGAGGCAGGAGGAUCAUGAGGUCAGGAGUUCAAGACCAGCCUGGCCAACAUAGUGAAACCCUGUCUCUACUAAAAACACAAAAAUUAGCCAGACAUGGUGGCACGUACCUGUAAUCCCAGCUACCGGGAGGCUGAGGCAGGAGAAUCGCUUGAACCUGGGAGGUGGAGUUUGCAGUGAGCCAAGAUUGUGCCACUACACUCCAGCUUGGGCAACAGAGUGAGACUUCAUCUCAAAAAAAAAAAAAAAAAAAAAAAAAAAGAAAGAAAUUAUAUAAAUUAUAUUGCCACUCUCAAAUGUGUGCUCUCCAGAGUCUUAAAUUCUGCUAUGCAGUAGUUGUUCCAUAAAAUGAUCCAAGCAUGAUCUUCCAACAAAAUGAACAAUUAAAAAAAUCUGUUAUUAAUAAUGGAUGGGGUGACUAUCAUCAGAAACCCUUCAUAUAACCACAACAUAUCAAACAGUGAUAUAAAUCUGGAUUGAUCAUGUCCCUAGUUGAUAAUCCUCUAUUCUGUAGCUUAGGCUGGAGAAAAAUGAAAAAGACUCCUGAGAACUGAAACCAACAUAGUUCCGAGGCCUUCUGUUAAACACUACUGGGACUGGGCAUAUUUUCCUAUUCUUAUGUGAAACCAUACUGAGGCAAGUAAAAAUAACGACUUCAUCUUACUCUAGGAAAUACUCAUCAUCAAGACAAUAAAACUGUGAACCAACUUAACAGCUUAUUUAGCAAGACUAACAAUUUGUUUUUCAAGACUCUCUUCAAGUACCUCAUCUUGCUGUGCUUAUCAAGCCAAAGUUACCAUAUCAUAAACUCUGCCCAACACCAAGUUACCUACUUUUCACGACUCAGCUUGAAAUAUCCCAUAUAAAUACCUAAAUACCUAUAAAUACCUAUAACUACCCCCUAUAAAUACCCCCAUUUUGAGAAGCUAUAAAUACUUUAUCAAAUCGGUGUCCUCUCUCACUACUGUAAGUCUAAUAAAUUCAGUCUUGGUUGAUCGA
Molecule: long non-coding RNA, 4329 nt
Organism: Pan troglodytes (chimpanzee)
Lineage: Eukaryota; Metazoa; Chordata; Mammalia; Primates; Hominidae
Exons: 3
Source: RefSeq, a predicted model, not a curated record